RNAcentral lists this unclassified non-coding RNA (336 nucleotides) under soil metagenome. Its description in RNAcentral is "partial contains 5.8S ribosomal RNA, internal transcribed spacer 2, and large subunit ribosomal RNA". The stretch from base 1 to 120 matches the Rfam family "5.8S ribosomal RNA", at positions 35 to 154 of the family's 154-position model. The record is from RNAcentral.
GAUGAAGAACGCAGCGAAAUGCGAUAAGUAAUGUGAAUUGCAGAAUUCAGUGAAUCAUCGAAUCUUUGAACGCACAUUGCGCCCGCCAGUAUUCUGGCGGGCAUGCCUGUUCGAGCGUCGUUUCAACCAUCAAGCCCCAGGCUUGUGUUGGGGACCUGCGGCUGCCGCAGGCCCUGAAAACCAGUGGCGGGCUCGCUGUCACACCGGGCGUAGUAGAUUUUAUCUCGCUCAGGGCGUGCUGCGGGUUCCGGCCGUUAAAAAGCCUUUUUUACCCAAGGUUGACCUCGGAUCAGGUAGGAAUACCCGCUGAACUUAAGCAUAUCAAUAAGCGGAGGA